This 76-nucleotide transfer RNA is filed under the name Candidatus Nomurabacteria bacterium RIFCSPHIGHO2_01_FULL_42_15. Its description in RNAcentral is "tRNA-Lys". It matches the Rfam family "tRNA". From Rfam's summary of the family: Transfer RNA (tRNA) molecules are approximately 80 nucleotides in length. Their secondary structure includes four short double-helical elements and three loops (D, anti-codon, and T loops). RNAcentral also lists the same sequence under 2 other names. Lineage: Bacteria; Candidatus Nomuraibacteriota. The record is from RNAcentral.
GCGCCCAUAGCUCAGCUGGUAGAGCAGAUCCCUUUUAAGGAUAAGGUCGUUGGUUCGAUUCCAACUGGGCGCACAA